Mauremys reevesii (Reeves's turtle) is the source of this 1185-nucleotide long non-coding RNA. RefSeq lists it as uncharacterized. Lineage: Eukaryota; Metazoa; Chordata; Testudines; Geoemydidae. The transcript has 3 exons. The record is from RefSeq and is a predicted model, not a curated record.
GAGGGAGCUGAGCUCAGCAUGGAGCUCCCAGCCCCGCCCCCUGACCACGUGGCUCUGAGCAGGGUGGGGCUCAGGCCCCGCUGGAGCCACGCUGCCUCUGUCGAGCGAAGCUCCUGAAUCCGCUGAGGCUACGGAUGAACAAACUAAGAAUAACUGCUGCACUCCCUGACUCUACUUGAUUGCAUCUUCAAAAGCUAAAUUAUUUCGAACAUAAGAAUAAACAACAAUUUGCACUUACAGCACUAAGGAUCUCUAAUGGCUUUACAAGCAUGAAUUAAGUCAAACAGCAUGAGGGAGAAGAUAUCUUCCCCAUUCAUACUGUCCUGAGAAAAAAAACAUCUCUGGCCAUCUUCUGACCAUUUCUAGAUGCCUUCUUUAAUGGAAAAACAUACAAGGAAUGGACAAUUCUAUAAUGACCCUGCCAUUGUACUGCAGGACCCUUUAAAGGAGAAGAGGAUAUGAGACUAUUCACACCCCAACCACAUCUGCAUUUCUGCCAUACUCAGACAGGAUUCUAUGGUUGGGAAAAAGCUGCACCUUGUCUUUUUUGGGGGGCUAGUUUCUGAUAUCAGUUACAUACGGUGGUAUAAAUGUGGAAUAAUUGCACAGUUCAGUUGGCUUACUCCAGAUUUGUCUCUUGGACAGUGAUGAGUAGGAUCCAUUGUGUAAGGCCUACCUGCCAAGUUAAUCUAUAGGUGAACAAAACUAAUGAGUGCACUCUAGAAACCUGUUGUGCAAACUGAUAGGAGGAUAAAAUGAAGUAUUUGAAAAAUGGCUGUGUCAGUAUCUUAUCAGAAAUUCUGGAAUAAAUUUAGCCCUUGUAUAAGCAGGUGUGACUCCCACUGAAGUCAAGAAACUAAAUGUAAGGCUGGCCUGGUGUUUGUGUGUUAGCUCUCCGCCAUGCUGUGCAAGAUCUCAGGUUGUGUUCCUGGAGCUGGCCUUGCUCUGCUUGAGCUAGCAGUGACUGGGAAUGCUGCAGUGAGAAGGGAGCACCUGGAGUAACGCUGCAGUGAUGUCUCUGGCAAAGUGCAGCAGUGAUGAACUUCAUAGGGGGUUCCCUCCAGCCCUCCUGAUCCAAGGAAACUAGUUGUAAUUUGGAGCUUUUAAGGAGGAGGGAAGGGGAAAGUCCACCAUUAAGAAAUAGACAGGAAGAGAACAAUCCUGUUAAAUCCCCAAGGAAAACCC